Long non-coding RNA from Biomphalaria glabrata, 1827 nucleotides. RefSeq lists it as uncharacterized. The transcript is spliced from 7 exons. The record is from RefSeq and is a predicted model, not a curated record. NCBI's taxonomy places the organism in Eukaryota, Metazoa, Mollusca, Gastropoda, Planorbidae.
CUACUAAGUUCUACUGUUAUAACUGUUCAUGUCAAAGCCAAGGACAGUCAAGUAGUCAAGACCUAGGGCUAGGGACCAGUAGCCUAGGCCUUGGUCCUAAGGGUCCUAGAGACACUUCACUAGAGUAGAUAUCUAGGAUUUUCUAGGCAGUCCUAGCCAAACCAAAUGAAUUAAAUUAAAUAUCUGAUGUAUUCAUUAUUGUGAUGAUUAAUCAAUCUGAAUCUGGUAUGAUCAGGGUAGAUCAGAUGGUCUAUCUUCUUCAUCUUCUGUGGUUUCCACUGGACCAACUACAGCUCACUCUGCCCCUGUCACUCCCACCCACAACCCUGAUGGCAGUGUGGAUGUUGGCAAUAGAACAGGCUCACUGAGAGGUUUCUUCCUGGGCUUGCCGGGCUACUUCUGACCCAUAAGGACAAUCCUUGGCAAGGCAGCUGCUGUAGAGCUAAAACAGCAAGGUGGCGAUUUUAUUGUUUACCAUGGAGUUGUCUACUUUUCAAAUUUUACUGCCCAAGUUUUGUACAGGCAGACUGAUCCAUCAGCAGUUCCUGAACCAGUAACUGAUAUCUCAAAAAAAAUAUUGCUAUACUGAUGGUGUCUGGUCACCUCAGAGGAAUUAUGCAUUGAAUGCUAUAGAAGAGAAGAAAAAUUCAGAUUUUUAGCAUGAUUUACAAAAUGGUUUUGAUUGUCUUAUGUUAAUGGCUGGUAAAGAACUGAAUCAUGUAGGCUGGAGAUCACUUGAGAGAAAUCAAGAAGUCUCUGAUCUACAUUGUAAGAGAAGAUCAUGUAGUGGUUGCCCAGGGGACUAAGGAGCCUCAAAAUGUUAUUGUUGUCAUUGAUCCAGAAACUAAGUUGCAAUCUGUCUUGGUUUCUGGUGCAGAUUUUUUAUUCAUGUCCUAGAGUAUCUCCAGACGGAUACAAAAUUGCUUGGGAUUUAGUGGACUCAUCCAAACAUGAGAGCAUUUCAAACAAUAAUAUAUCACUAACUUGUUGCUUUGUGUGUGUGUCUCCAUCUAAAUCUUGGGAUAGCACAGACAUUUGGCUAGCUGAGUUGCCACAGUCUGGUCUAGAGAUACUUCCAGGAACACAACAGAAGGUAAGUUUAUUUCCUAGGAUUUUACAAGGACAACCCAAGCUCUAGUAAAUCUCUUGGCAGGGUUUUGUUAAGUUUGGUAAACAUGAACAGAAUAUUUCAAUCAUUUGAAUGGGAUACAAUGUAGAAAAAAUGACAAUUUUGUUCUAGAUAUGUCAUCUAUAUCAUGUUAUAUCGUAUAAAUUACAGCCUUUCCUUUGGAACAGAAUAGAAUUACUUCCUAAAAGUUUCCAGGUGUUAAUCUUGUCAUAUAUGUUAAUUAGAGACUCUGCUAGAUCAUUGAUGUUCUUGGCUGAUUCAGGCAACCCAUGCCUGGCUCUAAUGGCACUAGAAAAGAAUUAGCCCUAUAUAGCAACAUGUCUAGAUAUGUAACAUAUAGCAAUAUUCAUCAUCAUUUAGAAUAUGUAAACCACCGGUGUUGAGAAUACUUUGAUGUCAGUGAAUAAAAGACGUAAUAAUUAAAGCUGUCUCCUGUUUGACCAUAAUAGAAAAUAGUUUAUUUCUUUCCCCCUCCAUCUCUUGUCAUGUUUGACUGAGAACACACGAACAUGAACUCUAAAGGCUUUACUCCUAGCUUGACCAUAAAUGGGCAUCUUUUUUCCAAUCUUUGGUUUGCAGAUGAUAUAGACUUCAUUGGAGAAAAUGCAGACUAGCUUCAAGAUCUUACUUCAAAACUGGAUGCUGCAGCUUGAGCAGUUGGCAUUGAAAUUAGUGCUGAAAAGAGAAAAAUACUAGUU